Molecule: non-coding RNA, 96 nt
Organism: Mycena vulgaris
Lineage: Eukaryota; Fungi; Basidiomycota; Agaricomycetes; Agaricales; Mycenaceae
Source: the annotation of a GenBank genome assembly
GAUCUGGUGGUGCAUGGAGCACACCCACUCACCAUACCUGACAAACACAUCCAUAGGUUUGUGUGGGAGGUCCCCGUUCGAUUCGGGGUCAGGUCA